Molecule: ribosomal RNA, 468 nt
Filed under: uncultured soil bacterium
Lineage: Bacteria
Description: bacterial SSU rRNA
Rfam family: Bacterial small subunit ribosomal RNA
Source: RNAcentral
AGAGUUUGAUCCUGGCUCAGAGCGAACGCUGGCGGCAGGCCUAACACAUGCAAGUCGAGCGCCCCGCAAGGGGAGCGGCAGACGGGAGAGUAACACGUGGGAACGUACCCUUUGGUUCGGAACAACCCAGGGAAACUUGGGCUAAUACCGGAUAAGCCCUUACGGGGAAAGAUUCAUCGCCGAAGGAUCGGCCCGCGUCUGAUUAGCUAGUUGGUGGGGUAACGGCCCACCAAGGCGGCGAUCAGUAGCUGGUCUGAGAGGAUGAUCAGCCUCACUGGGACUGAGACACGGCCCAGACUCCUACGGGAGGCAGCAGUGGGGAAUAUUGGACAAUGGGCGCAAGCCUGAUCCAGCCAUGCCGCGUGAGUGAUGAAGGCCCUAGGGUUGUAAAGCUCUUUUGUGCGGGAAGAUAAUGACGGUACCGCAAGAAUAAGCCCCGGCUAACUUCGUGCCAGCAGCCGCGGUAAU